RNAcentral lists this long non-coding RNA (2331 nucleotides) under Homo sapiens (human). RNAcentral describes it as "MTUS1 divergent transcript, transcript variant 1 (MTUS1-DT)". Lineage: Eukaryota; Metazoa; Chordata; Mammalia; Primates; Hominidae. The record is from RNAcentral.
CCAACCCGGGGCGGCUCCUUCCGAAGGCUCCACUCCAGCGGCUCGCUGCGGGAGACCAAGGCCAGCCGCCGUCCCAGGGGACGGCCCUCGGGGAACCUGAAUGACGUGCGAGGCCGUACCUCGGGGCGCUGGACUCCGCUCGGGCGCUCCCGCUCUCCGCUCCCGCUCUCGGGUCCCAAUCCCGACGCUCCGCGCGCUCCCGGACUAAGUGCGGACGCGCCCCACGCCCCCCGGCGCCAGCCCGGGACAGCGCUGCACCUGUUGCCACGUGCGACGCGGCGCUCAGCGGCUGCCACUGCCGCCGGCGCACCUGGCUGCACCGCGCGUCCCGGGACCACGCUCGUCCCCGCAGGAGCCCGGGGCUCCGCCGCACCCAGCGCUAGGGCCCAGGCCGGGCCGCGAGUUAGUUCUUUAGAUCAGAGGUCCCCAACCCCAGGACUGCGGACUGCCACUGGUCUUUGGCCUGUCAGGCACCCGGCCACACAGCUGGAGUGUGAAAAAAAAGGAAAAAACUGAAAAUCUCAAGAGGAUUCCAGGAAAUCAAAACAAUGAAUUAUUGAAUCAAGAAUUUGAAAGAGAAAAUAGAUGCAUACUGAAAAAAGAAUUUUGUUUAGUGAGAUAGAUGUAAUAAUGAAGGCAUGUUGAUAACGGGGGAGCUAUGUAUAUAUGAGGGGAGGGAUAUAUUGGAAAUCUCUGUAUCUUCCUCUCAAUCUUGCUGUGAUCCUAAAACUGCUCUAAAAAAUAUUUUGAGAAGGAAUAAUGAUGUGGUAAACAUGUUCUGUUAUUUAAAAAGAGAGACUUUUCAUAGCCGCCUCCCUCCCCCUCUACACACACACAGAGUCCUGUCCGUCUUCAUUCCCUUACUCAAUAAUUUGUACAGACACAGCCACUGGGCUCCAGUAAUCCUAAAGUUUCUAGAAAAUCAAGCACAGAAAAAGGUUAAAACCCUGAGGGAAUAAAAGAAUUCCUUUGCAUCCAUUGCAUUUCUCAGGAAGUGAACUAACAAAUUCACUGCUUUUAAAUGAGGAAAUUUUCUCAGUGAAAUUGAUUCCAAACCUUCGUUAGGUCAACUGUUCCCAGAUUUCUUAGCUGAUGCCUGAUCUGACUAUUCCUUAUCUUUAGUACAGAAACCAAGGUGAAUGACCUUUAAAAAACAUAUUAGACUGUUGACGUGUCUUCUAUGUUGUACUCUAGGUAAAAACGAUAAACCAGGAAAAAGAAAGUAAAAUUCAACCUUAGGCUCAUGGAUCCAGAGUGGAUAAUUAUGAGUCUGUAGUAUCUACAUGCAUGUGAUGAGGUUCAAGGACAAUAACCAUAAAGCAAAGACUUAAAAGGUUUUAUCAUUAGAAUAAUUGUAAUUCACUUGAUCUCUCAAUGUAACAAUACUUCGGUCUACUGUCUCAAGCCAUUAUUAUGUCUUACACUCAGCAUAUUGGUUUGUCUACCAUUAAAUAUUUAUUUUCUACAGUGCUUUCUGGAAGGCAAACAAAGCAGCCACUCUGCUACUUUAUAUUGAUUCCUGAGUUGUCCUUCGGAAACGCUUUCAGGAAGUUUAAUAGGUUUGAAAGAUAUUUAGACCUGUGACUGGCAAAUAUACUUCCUUCUUUUUAUUUCAAUAAGAGAGUACUAGAACUUAGAUCUUUAUUGUUUAAUCUAGUCAGUGCUGUCAUUGUCAAUCAAGUUCUCAAAUGACACUUGUCCUGAGCUGUAACUGAUCUAUUCAGAAGAAUAUGAAAAUAGUAAAGACGGCAACUAUGCAUGUUUUUACCGGACACGAUUUUAAUUGCUUUAAAAUGAAGUUAUGCAACCAAUGAGGAAUGGAGCUUUUGGAGUGGCCUGAAGCUAAAGGUUUCAGGUGUAUUUUUGCUUUCUUUGAAGAAAGAACCAAAUCAUUUUAUUUAAUAAAAAGGCCAUUUAUCAAGAAUUUCUUAAAGCUGUUUUAAACCUGAGUUUGCAAUUUAUAGAAUAUGUUCAAGCAGCCUCAGUGCCCUUUUAAUUGGAUGGUUUUCACAGAUUUAUCCAAUUUGAGAUUUAUCCAGUGAGAAUUCCCUUUGUUCAAGUAUAUAUGUCUUCUCUUCCAUAAAGCAGAUUCAAAUGAAAGAGUGCAAUCUGAUAUAUCAGACAUGUCAGUUAUACAUUUGAUGUGGUAAAUUUAUAAGAGAGGCCAAUUAUUGUUAUGAAAAAAUACAAUGAAAUACAUGAUAGUCAUUUACUGUUUUUAUAACUAAUCUAAAAGUAUUUACUAAAAAGAAACUAUUUCUUUUCAUAUGUACUUUACUUUUUACUUUAACCCUUCAUAUGUCCUUUAAAUAAAGAGAAGAAAAAAAGUCA